RNAcentral lists this ribosomal RNA (471 nucleotides) under uncultured bacterium. RNAcentral's name for it is "bacterial SSU rRNA". It matches the Rfam family "Bacterial small subunit ribosomal RNA", at positions 28 to 507 of the family's 1533-position model. The record is from RNAcentral.
GACGAACGCUGGCGGCGUGCCUAACACAUGCAAGUCGAGCGGAGGCAGCGGAAGAGCAAUCUGAGGCUGUCUGAGCGGCGGACGGGUGAGUAACGCGUGAGCAACCUGCCUUCCACAGGGGGAUAACGUACCGAAAGGUACACUAAUACCGCAUGAGACCACGGUACUGAUGGUACAGGGGUCAAAGGAGGAAUCCGGUGGGAGAUGGGCUCGCGUCCGAUUAGGUAGUUGGCGGGGUAAUGGCCCACCAAGCCUAUGAUCGGUAGCCGGCCUGAGAGGGUGAACGGCCACAUUGGAACUGAGAGACGGUCCAAACUCCUACGGGAGGCAGCAGUGGGGAAUAUUGGGCAAUGGGGGGAACCCUGACCCAGCAACGCCGCGUGAGGGAAGAAGGUUUUCGGAUUGUAAACCUCUGUUCUUGGAGAAGAGUGUAAGACGGUAUCCAAGGAGGAAGCCCCGGCUAACUACGUG